UACGGGGGGGGCGAGCGUUGUCCGGAAUCAUUGGGCGUAAAGAGCGUGUAGGCGGCCCGGUAAGUCCGCUGUAAAAGUCAAAGGCUCAACCUUUGAAUGUCAGUGGAUACUGCCGGGCUAGAGUCCGGAAGAGGCGAGUGGAACUCCUGGUGUAGCGGUGGAAUGCGCAGAUAUCAGGAAGAACACCAACGGCGAAGGCAGCUCGCUGGGACGGUACUGACGCUGAGACGCGAAAGCGUGGGGAGCGAACAGG
RNAcentral lists this ribosomal RNA (253 nucleotides) under uncultured bacterium. RNAcentral's name for it is "partial 16S ribosomal RNA". It matches the Rfam family "Bacterial small subunit ribosomal RNA", at positions 524 to 776 of the family's 1533-position model. The record is from RNAcentral.